CCUACGGGAGGCAGCAGUGGGGAAUUUUGGACAAUGGGGGCAACCCUGAUCCAGCCAUGCCGCGUGCGGGAAGAAGGCCUUCGGGUUGUAAACCGCUUUUAGCUGGGAAGAAAAGGCACGGGCCAAUACCCCGUGUUCUUGACGGUACCGGCGGAAUAAGCACCGGCUAACUACGUGCCAGCAGCCGCGGCAAUACGUAGGGUGCGAGCGUUAAUCGGAAUUACUGGGCGUAAAGCGUGCGUAGGCGGUUCGUUGUGUCUGCCGUGAAAGCCCCGGGCUCAACCUGGGAAUGGCGGUGGAAACUGGCGAGCUGGAGUGUGGCAGAGGGGGGUGGAAUUCCAGGUGUAGCAGUGAAAUGCGUAGAGAUCUGGAGGAACACCGAUGGCGAAGGCAGCCCCCUGGGCUGACACUGACGCUGAGGCACGAAAGCGUGGGGAGCAAACAGGAUUAGAUACCCUGGUAGUCCACGCCCUAAACGAUGGCAACUGGGUGUUGGGGGAGCGAUUCCUCAGUACCGUAGCUAACGCGUGAAGUUGCCCGCCUGGGGAGUACGGCCGCAAGGUUAAAACUCAAAGGAAUUGACGG
This 585-nucleotide ribosomal RNA is filed under the name uncultured bacterium. Its description in RNAcentral is "bacterial SSU rRNA". It matches the Rfam family "Bacterial small subunit ribosomal RNA", at positions 338 to 916 of the family's 1533-position model. The record is from RNAcentral.